Molecule: ribosomal RNA, 389 nt
Filed under: uncultured bacterium
Lineage: Bacteria
Description: bacterial SSU rRNA
Rfam family: Bacterial small subunit ribosomal RNA
Source: RNAcentral
UCGGGAAUUUUGUGCAAUGGGCGAAAGCCUGACACAGCAACGCCGCGUGAAGGAUGAAGUCCCUCGGGAUGUAAACUUCGUAAGAAUAGGAAGAAUAAAUGACGGUACUAUUUGUAAGGUCCGGCUAACUACGUGCCAGCAGCCGCGGUAAUACGUAGGGACCAAGCGUUGUUCGGAUUUACUGGGCGUAAAGGGUGCGUAGGCGGCAUAUCAAGUCACUUGUGAAAUCUCCGGGCUUAACUCGGAACGGCCAAGUGAAACUGUUAAGCUAGAGUGCAGAAGGGGCAAUCGGAAUUCUUGGUGUAGCGGUGAAAUGCGUAGAUAUCAAGAGGAACACCUGAGGUGAAGACGGGUUGCUGGGCUGACACUGACGCUGAGGCGCGAAAGCC